RNAcentral lists this ribosomal RNA (265 nucleotides) under uncultured bacterium. RNAcentral's name for it is "partial 16S ribosomal RNA". It matches the Rfam family "Bacterial small subunit ribosomal RNA", at positions 72 to 354 of the family's 1533-position model. The record is from RNAcentral.
CGCAGUCUUCGGACGGGCGGCGAGCGGCGGACGGCUGAGUAACGCGUGGGAAUCUACCCCAAAGUGAGGGAUAACGCACCGAAAGGUGUGCUAAUACCGCAUACGGUCUUCGGAUUAAAGUUUUAACGCUCUGGGAAGAGCCCGCGUACUAUUAGAUAGUUGGUGAGGUAAAGGCUCACCAAGUCGACGAUGGUUAACUGGUCUGAGAGGAUGAUCAGUCAGAUUGGAACUGAGACACGGUCCAAACUCCUACGGGAGGCAGCAG